GCUUUACUUGGAACUCGCCAAUUAUAAAUAUAGCAGGAGCGAGUCUCUCUCGACUGGCUGCCGCGCUUUCCUAAGUACUUUGGCUAAUUGCCGACUGCCGAUUGUUCUCUUUACUGGACGCACAUAUUUUUAUGUAUUUUCAAUAUGCUUAGUUGAAAAUAUCGAUAAUUAACGGCUUCAAUUGUAAUUUAAGCUAUCGCAGAUAGAGAACGAUGUAUCCGAUUUUAUUAUAACAAUUUUAACGAUGGUUCCCCAUGCGAAACAGGUGGCAGCCUUGUUGAUUUAUGAAACUUCGUUAAAUUUUAAAUACAAGUUUUGGUGCUAAUGGCUUGUCUAAAAUAAUUAAAUUGAAUUGAAUUUGUUACACGA
Drosophila mojavensis is the source of this 369-nucleotide long non-coding RNA. RefSeq lists it as uncharacterized. The transcript has 2 exons. The record is from RefSeq and is a predicted model, not a curated record. NCBI's taxonomy places the organism in Eukaryota, Metazoa, Arthropoda, Insecta, Diptera, Drosophilidae.